Molecule: long non-coding RNA, 315 nt
Filed under: Elaeis guineensis (African oil palm)
Lineage: Eukaryota; Viridiplantae; Streptophyta; Magnoliopsida; Arecales; Arecaceae
Description: long non-coding RNA (EGUI_LNC035950)
Source: RNAcentral
AUAAUCAUAGACAAAUGCUACGUGGAGCUCAAAUUUGAUAUCAUGAGCAUACUCAAAAAAUAAAGGAGGAAAAUAUAAAAUUUAUUGAUAAAAGAUCUAUGGAUGUUCAUGUGUGUUUACUCAUUAUUAUAGAAAAUAUUUGAAUGCAUAAUAUAUACUUAUAUUAUUAUUUAUGAACUAUUGUAAUGUAAUGUAGAAAAAUUGAAAAGUCUUAUUGACCAGUAGUCACAGCUAGAUGGCACUCAAAUGAGUUGAGACAGUAUACUAGUUGAGGUUUUAGAUAUGAGAUCAUGGCUUUUUUGAGACAAAGGGUUG